Molecule: ribosomal RNA, 212 nt
Filed under: Debaryomyces nepalensis
Lineage: Eukaryota; Fungi; Ascomycota; Pichiomycetes; Serinales; Debaryomycetaceae
Description: partial large subunit ribosomal RNA
Source: RNAcentral
AAGGGCUUGAGAUCAGACUUGGUAUUUUGCGAUCCUUUCCUUCUUGGUUGGGUUCUCCGCAGCUUACUGGGCCAGCAUCGGUUUGGAUGGUAGGAUAAUGAUUAAGGAAUGUGGCUCUACUUCGGUGGAGUGUUAUAGCCUUGGUUGAUACUGCCUGUCUAGACCGAGGACUGCGUCUUUGACUAGGAUGCUGGCAUAAUGAUCUUAAGCCA